GACCUCAUAGCUCAGCUAGUAGAGCAUGCGCUGUUCAAAAGCGUAGAUAGCGUCCAAGCGUGGGUUUGAAUCCCACCCAGGCUA
This 84-nucleotide transfer RNA is filed under the name Echinostoma caproni. It matches the Rfam family "tRNA". From Rfam's summary of the family: Transfer RNA (tRNA) molecules are approximately 80 nucleotides in length. Their secondary structure includes four short double-helical elements and three loops (D, anti-codon, and T loops). The record is from Rfam by way of RNAcentral. Lineage: Eukaryota; Metazoa; Platyhelminthes; Trematoda; Plagiorchiida; Echinostomatidae.